This 93-nucleotide small nuclear RNA is filed under the name Meriones unguiculatus (Mongolian gerbil). The record is from RNAcentral. Lineage: Eukaryota; Metazoa; Chordata; Mammalia; Rodentia; Muridae.
CCCUGUGCUCAGAUAAAUACUAAAAUUGGAACGAUACAGAAAAGAUUAGCAUGGCCCUUGAACUUUACUUAUUUUUAAAUCUUGCUUUUUCUU